AAAAACUGAGGUGGUGUAAGAUGGGCCCGCGUCUGAUUAGGUAGUUGGUGGGGUAGAAGCCUACCAAGCCGACGAUCAGUAGCCGACCUGAGAGGGCGACCGGCCACAUUGGGACUGAGACACGGCCCAAACUCCUACGGGAGGCAGCGGUGGGGAAUAUUGCACAAUGGGGGAAACCCUGAUGCAGCGACGCCGCGUGAGUGAGGAAGUAUUUCGGUAUGUAAAGCUCUAUCAGCAGGGAAGAAAAUGACGGUACCUGACUAAGAAGCCCCGGCUAACUACGUGCCAGCAGCCGCGGUAAUACGUAGGGGGCAAGCGUUAUCCGGAUUUACUGGGUGUAAAGGGAGCGUAGACGGACUUGCAAGUCUGAUGUGAAAAUCCGGGGCCCAACCCCGGAACUGCAUUGGAAACUGUAUAUCUAGAGUGCCGGAGAGGCAAGUGGAAUUCCUGGUGUAGCGGUGAAAUGCGUAGAUAUCAGGAGGAACACCAGUGGCGAAGGCGGCUUGCUGGACGAUGACUGACGUUGAGGCUCGAAAGCGUGGGGAGCAAACAGGAUUAGAUACCCUGGUAGUCCACGCCGUAAACGAUGACUACUAGGUGUCGGGAGGCAAAGCCUUUCG
This 620-nucleotide ribosomal RNA is filed under the name uncultured bacterium. Its description in RNAcentral is "bacterial SSU rRNA". It matches the Rfam family "Bacterial small subunit ribosomal RNA", at positions 202 to 842 of the family's 1533-position model. The record is from RNAcentral.